CGUGAGCAACCUGCCUUUAAGAGGGGGAUAACGUUUGGAAACGAACGCUAAUACCGCAUAACAUAGAAGAUUCGCAUGUUUCUUCUAUCAAAGAUUUAUCGCUUAAAGAUGGGCUCGCGUCUGAUUAGCUGGUUGGUGAGGUAACGGCUCACCAAGGCGACGAUCAGUAGCCGUACUGAGAGGUAGAACGGCCACAUUGGGACUGAGACACGGCCCAGACCCCUACGGGAGGCAGCAGUGGGGAAUAUUGCACAAUGGAGGGAACUCUGAUGCAGCGAUGCCGCGUGAGGGAAGAAGGUUUUAGGAUUGUAAACCUCUGUCUUCAGGGACGAUAAUGACGGUACCUGAGGAGGAAGCUCCGGCUAACUACGUGCCAGCAGCCGCGG
RNAcentral lists this ribosomal RNA (386 nucleotides) under uncultured bacterium. Its description in RNAcentral is "bacterial SSU rRNA". It matches the Rfam family "Bacterial small subunit ribosomal RNA", at positions 116 to 520 of the family's 1533-position model. The record is from RNAcentral.